AAUAAUCUAUAAAUUCUAUCUUAAAAAACCCAGCUGAUUAAAUAAAAUAUUCUGUUGAAAUGUAAAAGAAUUAACACAAUCACUUUAUGAAUUAAUAAAUUUAGUUUUUUCUUUUACAAACACAUUUGGUUAAUUUUAAUUUUGAUUUGAAUUCCUUGUGGAUAUAUCACUUUCUCUUUUAAUACUAUACAGUAUUAGUACAUGGAAAAGUGAAAGGCCUGUUUUAUAUAUGUAGAAAGGUGGUAUAUGAAGCUGUGAAGAUGUCUCAAAUUUAAAAAGAAAGCAUUUACACAGAAUGGGAGAAAAUAUUUGCAAACUACCCAUCUGACAAGUGAUUAAUAACCAGAAUAUAUAAAGUGCUCAAACAACUCAAUAGGAAAAAAAUCAAAUAAUCUAAUGAAAACAUGAAGAAAAUAUCUGACUAGACAUUUUUCAAAAGAAGACAAAUGGCCAACAGGAGAUCCUAAGAAAAAGCUUAUAUGUUCAGUGUGCAAUAAAAAGUGUUCUUCAGCAUCAAGCCUACAGGAACAUAGAAAGAUUCAUGAGAUAUUUGAUUGUCAAGAAUGUAUGAAGAAAUUUAUUUCAGCUAAUCAGCUAAAACGUCAUAUGAUCACCCACUCAGAAAAACGACCCUAUAAUUGCGAGAUUUGUAAUAAGUCUUUCAAGAGGCUCGAUCAAGUGGGUGCUCACAAAGUAAUACACAGCGAAGACAAACCUUACAAAUGCAAACUUUGUGGAAAGGGAUUUGCCCACAGAAAUGUUUACAAGAAUCAUAAGAAGACCCACUCUGAGGAGAGACCGUUCCAAUGUGAAGAAUGUAAAGCUUUGUUCCGGACCCCAUUUUCUUU
Molecule: small RNA, 848 nt
Filed under: Pan troglodytes (chimpanzee)
Lineage: Eukaryota; Metazoa; Chordata; Mammalia; Primates; Hominidae
Description: retained intron
Source: RNAcentral